CAUGUCACUGUAUUACAACCUGGGCUACAGAGCAAGAGGCCAUCUGAAAACAAAACAAAACAAAACAAAACAAAAACAACUCUGAGAAUUCAGAGUUGACUAGAACCUGGGGAAGCCUUCUAGAUUGUUCUCUACAUUUGUAAAAGAAAUAAAUCUUGAAUGUCUCUGCCGAAGGCUUUCAAUAAAUAUUUGUUGAAAAAGAAAGGAAGAAAGAAAAUGAAGAAGGAACGAAGGAGGAAAGGAAAGAAGGAAAGAAGGAAGGAAGGAGUUAAUGAAGACUCAAGGAUGUUCUGCUCUGAUUGGCAGGGAGAGUUUGAAGGUGGGUUGGCAGAGACUGUGACCGCAACUGACUGCGUUCUGCAGAAUUAUGGUAAUGAAAUUGGAAGCCAACUUUCGUGAAGCAGAAAGCCUCAAGUUUCCAGGUGCUGUGCUCAGUCCAGGAAUACAAUGAUGAAUACGAUCAAGGCCCUUUCAGAGCUGACACACACUAUACAUAAUGCAUCAAAAAUUGCGUUCUCGCUAUAUUUCUGUUUAUUUGGUUUUAUCUGCAAGAAUAUAGAUAGCAUCUGCUUUGAUAUAAAACUUUUAUGUGUCUUAUGUAGUUGAUUUGUAAAUGUCCUAUCUAUAAAUAUAAAACAAUAAAUUACUAGUUACAGUUAACUUAGGAAAACUUUUAAUCAUGUCCUACAUUUUACACCUUGUAAUUUCUACCAAAUGUUUGUAUUUUUAUGUCUUAUUAAAUAUAAUAAAUAUUUGUCUUAACAUAUUUUAAUAGAAUUCCUCAUAUGUUUUGCAGAAAGCUAAUUAUGGUUUUC
Molecule: long non-coding RNA, 815 nt
Filed under: Homo sapiens (human)
Lineage: Eukaryota; Metazoa; Chordata; Mammalia; Primates; Hominidae
Description: HSALNT0125131
Source: RNAcentral